This 447-nucleotide ribosomal RNA is filed under the name uncultured bacterium. RNAcentral's name for it is "bacterial SSU rRNA". It matches the Rfam family "Bacterial small subunit ribosomal RNA", at positions 330 to 793 of the family's 1533-position model. The record is from RNAcentral.
ACCAGACUCCUACGGGAGGCAGCAGUGGGGAAUAUUGCACAAUGGGGGAAACCCUGAUGCAGCGACGCCGCGUGAGUGAAGAAGUAUUUCGGUAUGUAAAGCUCUAUCAGCAGGGAAGAAGAAGGACGGUACCUGAGUAAGAAGCCCCGGCUAACUACGUGCCAGCAGCCGCGGUAAUACGUAGGGGGCAAGCGUUAUCCGGAUUUACUGGGUGUAAAGGGAGCGUAGACGGCGAAGAAAGUCUGAAGUGAAAGCCCGGGGCUCAAACGCGGAAUGGCUUUGGAAACUUUUUUGCUGGAGUACCGGAGAGGUAAGCGGAAUUCCUAGUGUAGCGGUGAAAUGCGUAGAUAUUAGGAGGAACACCAGUGGCGAAGGCGGCUUACUGGACGGUAACUGACGUUGAGGCUCGAAAGCGUGGGGAGCAAACAGGAUUAGAUACCCCAGUAA